UCCUUAGUAGCUCAAUGGUAGAGCAGUCGGCUAUUAACUGACUGGUCGUAGGUUCAAAUCCCUCCCUGGGCA
Molecule: transfer RNA, 72 nt
Filed under: Amborella trichopoda
Lineage: Eukaryota; Viridiplantae; Streptophyta; Magnoliopsida; Amborellales; Amborellaceae
Rfam family: tRNA
About the family: Transfer RNA (tRNA) molecules are approximately 80 nucleotides in length. Their secondary structure includes four short double-helical elements and three loops (D, anti-codon, and T loops). Further hydrogen bonds mediate the characteristic L-shaped molecular structure. tRNAs have two regions of fundamental functional importance: the anti-codon, which is responsible for specific mRNA codon recognition, and the 3' end, to which the tRNAs corresponding amino acid is attached (by aminoacyl-tRNA synthetases). tRNAs cope with the degeneracy of the genetic code in two manners: having more than one tRNA (with a specific anti-codon) for a particular amino acid; and 'wobble' base-pairing, i.e. permitting non-standard base-pairing at the 3rd anti-codon position.
Source: Rfam by way of RNAcentral